UUGNGUCGGUUUUAAGGUCUCACACUGGCCGCUCGUUUACCAAGCCUAACACAUGCAGUCGAGCGGAUGACGGGAGCUUGCUCCUUGAUUCAGCGGCGGACGGGUGAGUAAUGCCUAGGAAUCUGCCUGGUAGUGGGGGACAACGUUUCGAAAUGAGAACAGCUAAUACCAGCAUACGUCCUACAGAGGAAGAAAGCAAGAGGAGACCUUACAGAGAGCCUUAGCUGCUAUCAAGAUNGAAGCCUAAGAGUCAGAGAAUUAAAGCUAAGUAUAAGAGUAAGAAGAGUAAAAAUAGAGCUACAACCAAAGAGACAGACGAUACCAGUAAACUUAGCGUNCUAAGAAAGAAGAGAUAAGAUACAAGUACACACUAAGAGAAAACUAAGAAGAACGACGAGGUCCAG
RNAcentral lists this ribosomal RNA (404 nucleotides) under uncultured bacterium. RNAcentral's name for it is "partial 16S ribosomal RNA". The record is from RNAcentral.